AACGCACAUUGCGCCCGCCAGUAUUCUGGCGGGCAUGCCUGUUCGAGCGUCAUUUCAACCCUCAAGCCCAGCUUGGUGUUGGGGCAUUGCGGCAUGCCGCAAGCCCUCAAAAACAGUGGCGGGCUCGCUAUAACUCCGAGCGUAGUAAUAUAUCUCGCUAAGGAAGAGUGGCGGGCUUCUGCCGUAAAACCCCCAAAUUUUUUAAGGUUGACCUCGGAUCAGGUAGGAAUACCCGCUGAACUUAA
This 245-nucleotide unclassified non-coding RNA is filed under the name uncultured fungus. RNAcentral describes it as "sequence contains ITS2". The stretch from base 1 to 52 matches the Rfam family "5.8S ribosomal RNA", at positions 103 to 154 of the family's 154-position model. Lineage: Eukaryota; Fungi. The record is from RNAcentral.